RNAcentral lists this ribosomal RNA (1326 nucleotides) under Rothia marina. Its description in RNAcentral is "bacterial SSU rRNA". It matches the Rfam family "Bacterial small subunit ribosomal RNA", at positions 107 to 1438 of the family's 1533-position model. Lineage: Bacteria; Bacillati; Actinomycetota; Actinomycetes; Micrococcales; Micrococcaceae. The record is from RNAcentral.
UGAGUAAUACGUGAGUAACCUGCCUUUAACUCUGGGAUAAGCCUUGGAAACGGGGUCUAAUACCGUGAUACGACCAACCCUCGCAUGGGGUGUUGGUGGAAAGGGAUUUUGUACUGGUUUUAGAUGGGCUCACGGCCUAUCAGCUUGUUGGUGAGGUAACGGCUCACCAAGGCGACGACGGGUAGCCGGCCUGAGAGGGUGACCGGCCACACUGGGACUGAGACACGGCCCAGACUCCUACGGGAGGCAGCAGUGGGGAAUAUUGCACAAUGGGCGCAAGCCUGAUGCAGCGACGCCGCGUGAGGGAUGACGGCCUUCGGGUUGUAAACCUCUUUCAGCAGGGGAGAAGCGAAAGUGACGGUACCUGCAGAAGAAGCGCCGGCUAACUACGUGCCAGCAGCCGCGGUAAUACGUAGGGCGCGAGCGUUGUCCGGAAUUAUUGGGCGUAAAGAGCUUGUAGGCGGUUUGUCGCGUCUGCUGUGAAAGCCCGGGGCUUAACCCCGGGUUUGCAGUGGGUACGGGCAGACUAGAGUGCAGUAGGGGAGACUGGAAUUCCUGGUGUAGCGGUGAAAUGCGCAGAUAUCAGGAGGAACACCAAUGGCGAAGGCAGGUCUCUGGGCUGUAACUGACGCUGAGAAGCGAAAGCAUGGGGAGCAAACAGGAUUAGAUACCCUGGUAGUCCAUGCCGUAAACGUUGGGCACUAGGUGUGGGGAACAUUCCACGUUUUCCGCGCCGUAGCUAACGCAUUAAGUGCCCCGCCUGGGGAGUACGGCCGCAAGGCUAAAACUCAAAGAAAUUGACGGGGGCCCGCACAAGCGGCGGAGCAUGCGGAUUAAUUCGAUGCAACGCGAAGAACCUUACCAAGGCUUGACAUAUACUAGACCGCCUCAGAGAUGGGGUUUCCCUUCGGGGCUGGUAUACAGGUGGUGCAUGGUUGUCGUCAGCUCGUGUCGUGAGAUGUUGGGUUAAGUCCCGCAACGAGCGCAACCCUCGUUCUAUGUUGCCAGCACGUAAUGGUGGGGACUCAUAGGAGACUGCCGGGGUUAACUCGGAGGAAGGUGGGGAUGACGUCAAAUCAUCAUGCCCCUUAUGUCUUGGGCUUCACGCAUGCUACAAUGGCCGGUACAAAGGGUUGCGAUACUGUGAGGUUGAGCUAAUCCCAAAAAGCCGGUCUCAGUUCGGAUUGGGGUCUGCAACUCGACCCCAUGAAGUCGGAGUCGCUAGUAAUCGCAGAUCAGCAACGCUGCGGUGAAUACGUUCCCGGGCCUUGUACACACCGCCCGUCAAGUCACGAAAGUUGGUAACACCCGAAGCCGAUGGCCUAA